CGUGGGUAACCUGCCCAAGAGACUGGGAUAACACCUGGAAACAGAUGCUAAUACCGGAUAACAACACUAGACGCAUGUCUAGAGUUUAAAAGAUGGUUCCGCUAUCACUCUUGGAUGGACCUGCGGUGCAUUAGCUAGUUGGUAAGGUAACGGCUUACCAAGGCAAUGAUGCAUAGCCGAGUUGAGAGACUGAUCGGCCACAUUGGGACUGAGACACGGCCCAAACUCCUACGGGAGGCAGCAG
Molecule: ribosomal RNA, 244 nt
Filed under: uncultured bacterium
Lineage: Bacteria
Description: partial 16S ribosomal RNA
Rfam family: Bacterial small subunit ribosomal RNA
Source: RNAcentral